UGUGAGUGCUUGUAAGCCACGUGGGUAAGUUGGUCUUCAAGUCGAUGUUAACCCUCUCCCAGCCACCAACUUUGCUCUGCCCUUGUGCUGUGCGUGCCAUCUCCCUUGUUUGGUGACCGCGUCGGCUAGUUUUCACCCUCACCGUGGCCAGGGCGUCUCAAGGAGUUGCUUGCUCGUGUGAUGCUUGUUCCCUACUCUCUUUAGAACACCAAGAAGAAAUGGUCUUUGAAGAAGGAGCCUGCUCUCCAGUGCUGUUGAUCCAGUAGUUGGUUCCAUCUAACUGGUUAUCGUGAUAGAAGAUCUGGAAUCUCCUCCUGUAAUAAGGCAAGCCCCGGUGCAUUUGCCCCUCAUUGUUUUAAAAUUUUUAUCACCUUAUAUGAUGCAUUAGGUGAUAGGAGUUAUGUGAUCAACCGUUGAUGCAUUAUCAUUCC
Zea mays is the source of this 431-nucleotide long non-coding RNA. RefSeq lists it as uncharacterized. NCBI's taxonomy places the organism in Eukaryota, Viridiplantae, Streptophyta, Magnoliopsida, Poales, Poaceae. The record is from RefSeq and is a predicted model, not a curated record. The transcript is spliced from 2 exons.